Molecule: ribosomal RNA, 403 nt
Filed under: uncultured bacterium
Lineage: Bacteria
Description: bacterial SSU rRNA
Rfam family: Bacterial small subunit ribosomal RNA
Source: RNAcentral
AGUCGAGCGCCCCGCAGGGGGAGCGGCAGACGGGUGAGUAACGCGUGGGAAUCUACCCAUCACUACGGAACAACUCCGGGAAACUGGAGCUAAUACCGUAUACGUCCUUCGGGAGAAAGAUUUAUCGGUGAUGGAUGAGCCCGCGUUGGAUUAGCUAGUUGGUGGGGUAAUGGCCUACCAAGGCGACGAUCCAUAGCUGGUCUGAGAGGAUGAUCAGCCACACUGGGACUGAGACACGGCCCAGACUCCUACGGGAGGCAGCAGUGGGGAAUAUUGGACAAUGGGCGCAAGCCUGAUCCAGCCAUGCCGCGUGAGUGAUGAAGGCCCUAGGGUUGUAAAGCUCUUUCAACGGUGAAGAUAAUGACGGUAACCGUAGAAGAAGCCCCGGCUAACUUCGUGCCAG